This 253-nucleotide ribosomal RNA is filed under the name uncultured bacterium. Its description in RNAcentral is "partial 16S ribosomal RNA". It matches the Rfam family "Bacterial small subunit ribosomal RNA", at positions 524 to 776 of the family's 1533-position model. The record is from RNAcentral.
UACAGAGGUCCCAAGCGUUGUUCGGAUUCACUGGGCGUAAAGGGUGCGUAGGCGGUCGGGUAAGUCUGACGUGAAAUCUUCAAGCUCAACUUGGAAACUGCGUCGGAUACUAUUCGGCUAGAGGAAUGGAGGGGAGACUGGAAUACUUGGUGUAGCAGUGAAAUGCGUAGAUAUCAAGUGGAACACCAGUGGCGAAGGCGAGUCUCUGGACAUUUCCUGACGCUGAGGCACGAAAGCUAGGGGAGCAAACAGG